RNAcentral lists this ribosomal RNA (458 nucleotides) under uncultured bacterium. Its description in RNAcentral is "SSU rRNA". It matches the Rfam family "Bacterial small subunit ribosomal RNA", at positions 26 to 518 of the family's 1533-position model. The record is from RNAcentral.
AGAAUCAACGCUGGCGGCGUGCCUAACACAUGCAAGUCGCACGAGAAAGGGGAGCAAUCCCUGAGUAAAGUGGCGCACGGGUGAGUAACACGUGAAUAAUCUACCUCCGAGUGGGGAAUAACUGAGAGAAAUCUUAGCUAAUACCGCAUAACACUUACGAGUCAAAGCAGCAAUGCGCUUGGAGAGGAGUUCGCGGCCGAUUAGUUAGUUGGCGGGGUAAUGGCCCACCAAGACGAUGAUCGGUAUCCGGCCUGAGAGGGCGCACGGACACACUGGAACUGAAACACGGUCCAGACUCCUACGGGAGGCAGCAGUGGGGAAUUUUGCGCAAUGGGGGAAACCCUGACGCAGCAACGCCGCGUGGAGGAUGAAGCCCUUGGGUGUAAACUCCUUUCGAUCGGGAAGAUAAUGACGGUACCGAUAUAAGAAGCCCCGGCUAACUUCGUGCCAGCAGCCGC